GACGAACCGAGCGAACGUUGUUCGGAAUCACUGGGCUUAAAGGGCGCGUAGGCGGGUGAUCAAGUCCGUGGUGAAAUCCUCCAGCUCAACUGGAGAACUGCCUCGGAUACUGGUCGUCUUGAGGAAGGUAGGGGUAUGCGGAACUAUCGGUGGAGCGGUGAAAUGCGUUGAUAUCGAUAGGAACUCCGGUGGCGAAGGCGGCAUACUGGACCUUUUCUGACGCUGAGGCGCGAAAGCCAGGGGAGCAAACGGG
This 253-nucleotide ribosomal RNA is filed under the name uncultured bacterium. Its description in RNAcentral is "partial 16S ribosomal RNA". It matches the Rfam family "Bacterial small subunit ribosomal RNA", at positions 524 to 776 of the family's 1533-position model. The record is from RNAcentral.